This 238-nucleotide unclassified non-coding RNA is filed under the name Hevea brasiliensis (rubber tree). Lineage: Eukaryota; Viridiplantae; Streptophyta; Magnoliopsida; Malpighiales; Euphorbiaceae. The record is from RNAcentral.
AAAGACACAUAGUGUAAGAAACAAGAAGGAUAAAUUCCUUAAAAUAUCUAAUACAACUAAGAUACUCUUUAAUCCCUAGUACUAGAGAUAAAAACCUCCAUACAUCACAAUAAGCCUCUUCAAAUCAUCAUCCAAGCUAAAUAGAAUAUGAAAACAUAUGAAAUAAUAAUUGUCAUGCAGAAGCAUGUUUACCAGAUAUGCUCCUCCCUUAGUUCUCUUCAUCACCAUCAGUUUUUUU